UACGUAGGGUGCAAGCGUUAAUCGGAAUUACUGGGCGUAAAGCGUGCGCAGGCGGUUUUGUAAGUCAGAUGUGAAAUCCUCGGGCUUAACCUGGGAACUGCGUUUGAAACUACAAGGCUAGAGUGUGGCAGAGGGGGGUGGAAUUCCACGUGUAGCAGUGAAAUGCGUAGAGAUGUGGAGGAACACCGAUGGCGAAGGCAGCCCCCUGGGUUAACACUGACGCUCAGGCACGAAAGCGUGGGGAGCAAACAGG
This 253-nucleotide ribosomal RNA is filed under the name uncultured bacterium. RNAcentral describes it as "partial 16S ribosomal RNA". It matches the Rfam family "Bacterial small subunit ribosomal RNA", at positions 524 to 776 of the family's 1533-position model. The record is from RNAcentral.